Molecule: ribosomal RNA, 378 nt
Filed under: uncultured organism
Description: partial 16S ribosomal RNA
Rfam family: Bacterial small subunit ribosomal RNA
Source: RNAcentral
GUAGGUGGCGAGCGUUGUCCCGGAAAUUAUUGGGCGUAAAAGCGCGCGCAGGGCGGUCCUUUUAAGUCUGAUGUGAAAAGCCCACGGCUCAACCGUGGAGGGUCAUUGGAAACUGGGGGGACUUGAGUACAGAAGAGGAAAGCGGAAUUCCAAGUGUAGCGGUGAAAUGCGUAGAGAUUUGGAGGAACACCAGUGGCGAAGGCGGCUUUCUGGUCUGUAACUGACGCUGAGGCGCGAAAGCGUGGGGAGCAAACAGGAUUAGAUACCCUGGUAGUCCACGCCGUAAACGAUGAGUGCUAAGUGUUAGGGGGUUUCCGCCCCUUAGUGCUGCAGCUAACGCAUUAAGCACUCCGCCUGGGGAGUACGGCCGCAAGGCUG